Molecule: ribosomal RNA, 500 nt
Filed under: uncultured Glomeromycotina
Lineage: Eukaryota; Fungi; Glomeromycota
Description: partial small subunit ribosomal RNA
Rfam family: Eukaryotic small subunit ribosomal RNA
Source: RNAcentral
CCAAUAGCGUAUAUUAAAGUUGUUGCAGUUAAAAAGCUCGUAGUUGAAUUUCGGGAUCAUCAGGUUGGUCGUGCCUCUGGUAUGUACUGAUUUCGAUGGUUCCUCCUUCUUGAAGAACCGUAAUGCCAUUAAUUUGGUGUUGCGGGGAAUCAGGACUGUUACUUUGAAAAAAUUAGAGUGUUUAAAGCAGGCAGUCGCUUGAAUACAUUAGCAUGGAAUAAUGAAAUAGGACGUUCGAUCCUAUUUUGUUGGUUUCUAGGAUUGACGUAAUGAUUAAUAGGGAUAGUUAUGGGCAUUAGUACUCAAUUGUCAGAGGUGAAAUUCUUGGAUUUAUUGAAGACUAACUACUGCGAAAGCAUUUGCCAAGGAUGUUUUCAUUAAUCAAGAACGAAAGUUAGGGGAUCGAAGACGAUCAGAUACCGUCGUAGUCUUAACCAUAAACUAUGCCGACUAGGGAUCGGAUGAUGUUAAUUUUUUAAUGACUCAUUCGGCGCCUUACG